AUAAGCGCUAGCAAAAUAUAUGACGCAUGUUAGUUGUACGACCAUUAAAAGGUAGUAGCGUAAAGGUGAGUAAUACUAAGGAAUAUAACUAUUUAAAAGUCUGAAAUAGACAAGAAAAGGCAAAAAGCGUAAAUAGAAUAGCCUUAGAUAAAUUAGGUAGUAGGUAGGGUAAAAGCCUACCUAGCCGAAGAUUUAUAGCCGUGUUGAAAAACAGACCGGCCACAUUGGAAUAGAAAGAUAGUCCAAACCUUUCAAAAGGGCAACAGCGGAGAAAAUUGUACAAUAGGCGAAAGCCUGAUACAGUAAUUUUGCGUGAGUGAAGAAGGUGUAGAUACUGUAAAACUCUUUUCAUAGGGAUGAAGUUGACAUUACUUAUGGAAUAAACACCAGCAAAAUUUGU
This 400-nucleotide ribosomal RNA is filed under the name uncultured bacterium. RNAcentral describes it as "bacterial SSU rRNA". It matches the Rfam family "Bacterial small subunit ribosomal RNA", at positions 32 to 506 of the family's 1533-position model. The record is from RNAcentral.